ACGGAAGGCAGCAGUGGGGAAUAUUGCACAAUGGGCGAAAGCCUGAUGCAGCGACGCCGCGUGAACGAAGAAGUAUUUCGGUAUGUAAAGUUCUAUCAGCAGGGAAGAUAAUGACGGUACCUGACUAAGAAGCACCGGCUAAAUACGUGCCAGCAGCCGCGGUAAUACGUAUGGUGCAAGCGUUAUCCGGAUUUACUGGGUGUAAAGGGAGCGCAGGCGGCGCGGCAAGUCUGAAGUGAAAUCCCGGGGCUCACCCCCGGAACUGCUUUGGAAACUGUCGUGCUAGAGUGUCGGAGGGGUAAGCGGAAUUCCUAGUGUAGCGGUGAAAUGCGUAGAUAUUAGGAGGAACACCAGUGGCGAAGGCGGCUUACUGGACGAUAACUGACGCUGAGGCUCGAAAGCGUGGGGAGCAAACAGGAUUAGAUACCCUGGUA
RNAcentral lists this ribosomal RNA (434 nucleotides) under uncultured Lachnospiraceae bacterium. Its description in RNAcentral is "bacterial SSU rRNA". It matches the Rfam family "Bacterial small subunit ribosomal RNA", at positions 341 to 792 of the family's 1533-position model. The record is from RNAcentral. Lineage: Bacteria; Bacillati; Bacillota; Clostridia; Lachnospirales; Lachnospiraceae.